Molecule: ribosomal RNA, 501 nt
Filed under: uncultured bacterium
Lineage: Bacteria
Description: partial 16S ribosomal RNA
Rfam family: Bacterial small subunit ribosomal RNA
Source: RNAcentral
AUUGAACGCUGGCGGCAUGCCUUACACAUGCAAGUCGAACGGCAGCACGGGUGCUUGCACCUGGUGGCGAGUGGCGAACGGGUGAGUAAUACAUCGGAACGUACCUUAUCGUGGGGGAUAACGCAGCGAAAGCUGUGCUAAUACCGCAUACGCCCUGAGGGGGAAAGCGGGGGAUCGAAAGACCUCGCGCGAUUGGAGCGGCCGAUGCCUGAUUAGCUUGUUGGUGGGGUAAAAGCCCACCAAGGCGACGAUCAGUAGCUGGUCUGAGGGGACGAUCAGCCACACUGGGACUGAGACACGGCCCAGACUCCUACGGGAGGCAGCAGUGGGGAAUUUUGGACAAUGGGGGCAACCCUGAUCCAGCAAUGCCGCGUGAGUGAAGAAGGCCUUCGGGUUGUAAAGCUCUUUUGUCAGGGAAGAAACACCGGCUCUAACACAGUCCGGGAAUGACGGUACCUGAAGAAUAAGCACCGGCUAACUACGUGCCAGCCGCCGCGGUAA